This 497-nucleotide ribosomal RNA is filed under the name uncultured bacterium. Its description in RNAcentral is "partial 16S ribosomal RNA". It matches the Rfam family "Bacterial small subunit ribosomal RNA", at positions 28 to 507 of the family's 1533-position model. The record is from RNAcentral.
GAUGAACGCUGGCGGCGUGCCUAAUACAUGCAAGUCGAGCGAACAGACGAGGAGCUUGCUCCUCUGACGUUAGCGGCGGACGGGUGAGUAACACGUGGAUAACAUACCUAUAAGAAUGGGAUAACUUCGGGAAACCGGAGCUAAUACCGGAUAAUAUAUUGAACCGCAUGGUUCCAUAGUGAAAGACGGUUUUGCUGUCACUUAUAGAUGGAUCAGCGCCGCAUUAGCUAGUUGGUAAGGUAACGGAUUACCAAGGCAACGAUGCGUAGCCGACCUGAGAGAGUGAUCGGCCACACUGGAACUGAGACACAGUCCAGACUCCUACGGGAGGCAGCAGUAGAGAAUCUUCCGCAAUGGGCGAGAGCCUGACGGAGCAACGCCGCGUGAGGGAUGAAGGUCUUAUGAUCGUAAAACUCUGUUAUUAGGAAAGAACUAAUGUGUAAGUAACUAUGCACGUCUUGACGGUACCUAAUCAGAAAGCCACGGCUAACUACGUG